UUUCCUACGGGCGGCAGCAGUGGGGAAUAUUGGACAAUGGGCGCAAGCCUGAUCCAGCCAUGCCGCGUGAGUGAUGAAGGCCCUAGGGUUGUAAAGCUCUUUCACCGAUGAAGAUAAUGACGGUAGUCGGAGAAGAAGCCCCGGCUAACUUCGUGCCAGCAGCCGCGGUAAUACGAAGGGGGCUAGCGUUGUUCGGAAUUACUGGGCGUAAAGCGCACGUAGGCGGAUAUUUAAGUCAGGGGUGAAAUCCCAGAGCUCAACUCUGGAACUGCCUUUGAUACUGGGUAUCUCGAGUAUGGAAGAGGUGAGUGGAAUUCCGAGUGUAGAGGUGAAAUUCGUAGAUAUUCGGAGGAACACCAGUGGCGAAGGCGGCUCACUGGUCCAUUACUGACGCUGAGGUGCGAAAGCGUGGGGAGCAAACAGGAUUAGAUACCCCUGUAGUCCC
Molecule: ribosomal RNA, 445 nt
Filed under: uncultured Agrobacterium sp.
Lineage: Bacteria; Pseudomonadati; Pseudomonadota; Alphaproteobacteria; Hyphomicrobiales; Rhizobiaceae
Description: bacterial SSU rRNA
Rfam family: Bacterial small subunit ribosomal RNA
Source: RNAcentral